Molecule: ribosomal RNA, 253 nt
Filed under: uncultured prokaryote
Description: partial 16S ribosomal RNA
Rfam family: Bacterial small subunit ribosomal RNA
Source: RNAcentral
UACGGAGGGUGCAAGCGUUAUCCGGAUUCACUGGGUUUAAAGGGCGCGUAGGCGGUGCGGUAAGUCUGUGGUGAAAUCUCCGGGCUCAACUCGGAAAUUGCCGCGGAAACUGCCGUGCUGGAGUGUGGGAGAGGUGAGUGGAAUUCCCGGUGUAGCGGUGAAAUGCGUAGAGAUCGGGAGGAACAUCAGUGGCGAAGGCGGCCAUCUGGGACAACACUGACGCUGAGGCACGAAAGCGUGGGGAGCAAACAGG